This 445-nucleotide ribosomal RNA is filed under the name uncultured bacterium. Its description in RNAcentral is "partial 16S ribosomal RNA". It matches the Rfam family "Bacterial small subunit ribosomal RNA", at positions 354 to 796 of the family's 1533-position model. The record is from RNAcentral.
GUGAGGAAUAUUGCGCAAUGGAGGCAACUCUGACGCAGCCAUGCCGCGUGCAGGAAGAAGGCGCUACGCGUUGUAAACUGCUUUUAACCGGGAAGAAACCCCAGGACGUGUCCUGGGUUGACGGUACCGGAGGAGUAAGCACCGGCUAACUUCGUGCCAGCAGCCGCGGUAAUACGAAGGGUGCAAGCGUUAUCCGGAUUCAUUGGGUUUAAAGGGUGCGUAGGCGGAGCGUUAAGUCAGUGGUGAAAUCCUGCAGCUUAACUGUAGACUUGCCAUUGAUACUGGCGCUCUUGAGUGCGCUUGAAGUGGGCGGAAUGUGCCGUGUAGCGGUGAAAUGCUUAGAUAUGGCACAGAACACCAAUUGCGAAGGCAGCUCACUAAGGCGAUACUGACGCUGAGGCACGAAAGCGUGGGGAUCGAACAGGAUUAGAUACCCUGGUAGUCC